RNAcentral lists this small nuclear RNA (107 nucleotides) under Octodon degus (degu). The record is from RNAcentral. Lineage: Eukaryota; Metazoa; Chordata; Mammalia; Rodentia; Octodontidae.
GUGCUCACUUUGGCAGCACAUAUACUAAAAUUGGAAUGAUACAGGGAAGAUUAGCAUGGCCCCUGCUCAAGGAUGACAUGCAAAUUUGUGAAGAGUUCCAUAUUUUU